RNA transcript from Hippocampus comes (tiger tail seahorse), 2618 nucleotides. It is a transcript of the gene named protein kinase, AMP-activated, gamma 3b non-catalytic subunit, with no coding region annotated. The record is from RefSeq and is a predicted model, not a curated record. The transcript is spliced from 14 exons. Lineage: Eukaryota; Metazoa; Chordata; Actinopteri; Syngnathiformes; Syngnathidae.
GCCUCGCCUUCCCUUUCGAGCUCUCUUGCAGUGAAUGCCACAGGCCUCUCACCACUUUGUCCAGAUUUAGACCUCAACUUUUCCCAGACUUCCAGGUUCAGCUGGUUGAAUCGCGCUGCGCUGCUCCACUGAUUUCUCGUUCUCACCGUCAACAUGGGCACAGGACCCUCCAAAUAUCGGCCAUAAAGGAUAUUUAGCUUUGGGUUCUGAUGCAAAGGAAGUCUGCACCACCACUUCCCCAAACAUGGAGUCUCCUGCCGAGGUGCCGUUGUUUGAAAUGGAGUUGGAAGAGGACAAGGGGGCUGAUGAUUUAAUGGCAGACGCAGGCAGUUGUUCACCUACAUGGAUGGAUGCUGCGGCCCCCCCAGCAGGCCCAGAGCGAGAUGCCUUCAUUUACAUGAACUUCAUGAAGAACCACAGCUGCUAUGACGCCAUUCCCACCAGCUCCAAGCUGGUCAUCUUUGACACUGCACUGCAGGUGAAGAAGGCUUUCUUUGCUCUGGUGGCUAACGGUGUACGAGCAGCACCUCUGUGGGACAAUAAGCUCAAAUGUUUUGUAGGGAUGCUGACCAUCACGGACUUCAUCAACAUCCUCCAUCGUUAUUACAAGUCUCCACUGGUUCAGAUCUACGAGUUGGAGGAGCACAAGAUCGAGACGUGGCGAGAGAUCUAUCUGCAGUAUUCCACCAACAGGCUCAUCAGCAUCACCCCCGAGGCCAGUCUGUUUGAUGCCAUCUACUCCCUGUUAAAGAACAAGAUACACCGCCUUCCCGUUAUCGACCCGGCAUCGGGAAAUGUCCUGCAUAUCCUGACACACAAACGCAUCCUCAAAUUCCUCCACAUAUUUGGUUCUAUGAUUCCAAAGCCAUGGUUCCUGCAAAAACAGAUCGGUCAGCUGGCUAUCGGUACCUUUAAGCAGAUCGCAACAGUGCAGGAAUCGGCGUCGGUCUACGACGCUCUGAGCAUCUUUGUGGAGCGACGGGUGUCCGCUCUGCCUGUGGUCAAUGAGCAAGGUCAAGUAGUGGCGCUGUACUCCAGAUUUGAUGUCAUUAAUCUUGCAGCCCAGAAGCGCUACAACAACUUGGAUAUGACCAUGACAGAGGCUGUUGCCUCCAGAGCCUGCUGUAUGGAAGGAGUGCUUAAAUGUUACCCUCAUGAAACCUUAGAGACCAUCAUUGACCGCAUCGCUCAGGCUGAGGUGCAUCGUUUAGUGUUGGUUGAUGCCAAGGAUGUGGUGAGAGGAAUCGUCUCACUGUCGGACCUCCUCCAGGCCCUGGUCCUCAGCCCAGCAGUCCCACCCCGGAUGUGUGGCAGGCCCACUCCUCAUCUACAAAGGCCACGACUGGUUUCUGGUGGUCCAUCUGCUCCAGUAUUGGCUAGAUGUUCCCACCGCUUUUUCCCUUCCCAAAUAUUAGCAUCUCCAAAGUCAAGAAAACAUUGUGUUUAUCUCCCAAAAAAAAAACGUCUAAACCAUUGACCAGUGACAGUCUGCUACUCUACCUUGAUGCUACUCGAUCCUGAACUGCCUGUUUACGUCAGCACUGUAUGCACCUUCGGCUGUGUUAAAAAAAAAGGAGAGUCAAUCGGUCCUCCACCUUCUGCAAAAGGGAGUCCCCAUUCUGCAGCUCUUACAAACACCUUCAUGACUCCAGCAGAAAAUGUUAGCAGCUCCUCGGCCGCUCACCUUGCAGGUUUUAUGAGCAAUUGUGUUUUCAAGAGGGAGGAAAGUGAAAAAAACUGAGACGAGCGGCUCAAGUGUGACCGAACAAGCCCAGGUCAAAUUCACCAGGCAAAAUGAGAAUCAAUGUGAAGAAAAAGAAAAUCGUGGGACUUCAAUCAACUUAUUUUGAUUGAGACAUUUUAUUAACGGAGGCAUGUCUGAAUGAAGCGGACUUUCACAGAAAACUGAUCCUCUCUAUUCAGAAUUGAAUUACAUGGUGUAAAACCAACAACUCUCGAAAUAGUCAUGUGAUGUUUGUGCUUUGGACAUUAUGCCGUAUGAUGAGUAGUUUUUCCGUUUCAUUUAGAGGCACUGACACAAAUUUUACUGUGCAAAACAAAACUUUUCUUUGUUGUUCAUAGCCAUGCGUAACACUUUUUUUUCACACAGUAAGGUAUGCUCACAAUACAACACCGUGUAUAAUUUAGCAUUUCCUGCAUUAUGAAGAAUGUUCUUUAGAAAUGUUGGCCGUCUUACAUCACAUGUCAAAUCUCCAUUUCUUUUAAUUUAAAGUAUUGUAUUGACCUGCGAUUGGCUGGCAACCGGUUCAGGGUGUCCCCCACCGACUGCCCGAAGACAGCUGGGAUAGGCUCCAGCACCCCCACAACCCUUGUGUUGUUGACCCUUGUAUUCAUGCCUCAAACCUUACAAUGUUUGACUCUGUUGUGAAAUUCGCAUCAGUAUCAUGCCACAUCUAUGUUCCUCUUCACCAACAAUCUCUUGAAUCCUUUUUUUCUAAUAUAUUACAGUACUGUAUAUGUUAGAUUUAUUUUUUAAUCCCUGCAUUUUUUUAAGCCCCCUCGUGGACUCUCAGGGGAUUUCACUAUAUAUAUCGUCACGAAGGCGAAAUUUUGUCUGAUCAUUCGUAUAACAUUAAUAAAGAGAAGGUGUAUUCUUA